UGUGUGUGUGGUAUUUGCUGCUAUUGUUGUUAUAGUAAAGAAAAAAAUUGUUCAGUGGGAAACCUUAGGGUCAUCAUGAUGACCAUGUAAUAAAUAUUUUCAAAUAUGCAGAAAUGUUGGGCCAUCCACAUGAUGCAGAAGCUGAUUUUUGAAAAAGGAUCCCUUUGUAUUAUUUUCUGUAAGGGAGGCACCAUGUUUAAUUUUAGUGAAUGCAUGAAAUGCAUGCAAAAGGGCUUCAUAAACUGUAAAGCUCUCUGCAAAUGAAAAGCAUUAUUAUUAUUCCAGAUACAAUAUAAGUGCAGCUGACAUCAACCACCAUUUAUCCCAGUUGCAGGUGUAACAACCAACAAGGGUAUUGUCCUUUGUUCCUUUGCCACAGCUGUGAGAGAGCAUCUGAAUCCAAUACAUAAAUAACAGCUGUGAUUUUAAUUGAGACUUUUGAGUGGAUAAGCAAGGUGUACACUGAACGCAUAGCAACAGAUAGGUUUUCAUUUGGGCAGCCACAUUAUUAUUUCCUCAGACUUUGAAAAGGGAAAGUUUUAACAGCCCUCUUGGAAGUGACCCUUGUUUUUCCCCCCACCUGUUCGCAGUUACUGUCACAGAAUGCGUCAUCACUCUCCCACGCGCACAGUGGGAAAACAAGUUUGCCAUCCAGAGCAAAGGGAGUUUUUAUGCUGUGUCAGGGAUACAAGAGUCUGUGUAUGGUUCAUUGUCCAUUUCCCAAUUAGGCUCCCUCCCUAGGCGUUGGAGCUUCCUGCCCAGAGAGCCUGCCUGGACUCCUUAUCAUUUCAGCAGAAAUAAGUCACAUGAGAAGCCACUGCAAAUCAGAUUUUUGCCAGAAUGCUUGUGGUCUCUGCCUUGCCCUUUUUUUCCCCCAAGAUUUUGCAACUCUGUUCUUGUCUUAGGAGGGUGAGAAAUUAUCCCAUCAAUGUAAUCAACCCAGAUUGGUCAACCAAAGGGAAUUUGCUUGUUGAAUCACAUUUGCUGCUAGUAUGUUCUUGGACAAGGGUAUCUCCAUGACUCUGUCCCUUGACUGGGGUGUCUAACUAUUGGGUAUUCUCUUUCUUGUACUGUGCAUAGAUAUGUUUCAGACUUUGUAUUUGCCCCUUAAAGCUGCCCUUGUGAUAGAUUUAGCAGCUCUGUAGUAAUACACACUGAAAACUAAUCUAAACACUAUAUAGUUGUAGAGUGGAAAGAGUUUCAAAGCCCAGCAAAUCUGAAUUGGAAUCAAAAUUUAUCACUAUACCUGGGUGAUAGGCCUCAGCUGCCUUAUCUGUAAAAUGGGGAUAAAAAUACCUCCCUAGCUCUGAAGAUCAUUGUAAGGUCAAGAGAGGCAAUGCAUGUACACUUCCCAGAGAGGGUCUGGCCCAUAGUAAUUGCCUCAUAAUUAGUGAGUGAGAUGAUUGUUCCAUAAACUGUACAGCUGGGGAAGAUCCCCCAAUGCAGACACAUGGCUAGCCCAAGUUUAACAGCAACUUAAUGGCAGAUGUAGGAGAAAAGUUAAGAUCCAGAGCUUCUUUCUACUACAUCUAAGAAUUGUUUCCUCAGGUUUGGGGAGGAGACAGCAAAGCUAAACACUUCAAGCCAGAGAGCCCUCUACAGAAGGAUGUAAUGGAUAAUUAUUGGUAUACAGUGAGGUUCAUAACCAAAAACAAAAGUUCUCUCCAUGAGACCUGGAAUCUGUAAACUGUCUUCUGGCUAAGGAAUCUGAAACUUAGGAUAAACAACUUGCCUAAUUUCUUAUGAUGGAGAUGUAAUAGUGGUUGGAAUUUGGACCUAUUCCUUCUGAUUCUGGAGCUCACCAGUUAACCACUCUGCUAAACUGCCUCCCCAAGAGGUAAAAAAUAUCUAGUGCUUUCAAGUCCAAAUCACUUUCCAAUAGCAAUAGUUGAUAAUAUCAUGAGCUGCCCAUGCUUCCAGAUGGGGGUAGAUGCUAGUUUGGAGGGAAAGGCUGUGCCAUGGGACAGAAGACUCAAUGAGGAGGGUGAGUAUUACCACAAGCUGGGACCCAUUUGUAAUGGUAUUUAUAGAAGUCUAGGAGCACAGUAUUCAAUUAGCAAAAGCAAACUCCCUAGGUAUUAUAACCCCCUUUUUUUCCUCCCCACUUAUCUUUAUGAGAUUUUGCCUGAGAGAUAGAAUCUAAAAGGAUAAAAAUAGGCUCUUUAAACUUCAGGGAGGAAGCAGUGAUGUUUUCAAUAGACUAUGUUUCCAUCUCCACCCACUCCAAACAAGUUAAGUAUUGUAUGACAUGAAGUCUAGGAAAAGCCUGGCACUCUAUAAAAAAUACUGGGAAAAUUCUGUCCAGCAUGGAAUAUCAGCAGCUUAUUGUACAGCAUAAAGUACUAACUCAGCAUUGACCUGCUCCCAAAAAGGGCAAAAUGAGAAGAAAAGAGCAGUGGAUGAUUGGAAAGAGGGCUCAGAUAUCAGCCCUUUACCUGUUGAAAGGGAUGUGCUAUAGCAAUUUUGCUGGCUUGGCCUGGGGACAUGUGAAAUGGUGGAGGAUGAUUUAGAUGUCUCAGUAUCAACUUUGAUAUCUCUUUACUUCAGGGAAUCACAAGUUCAAAUUCCAGGAGAGUUGGAUCAGCCUUUCCUCUCUGGCAGCCAGGCAAAGCGAGGGUCAUGCGAUCUACUCAGCACUUUGGGAUGUGACUUCAAAACCAAAGAACAAGGUGCACAUUUUGAGAAACGUGUACUCCUUGUUUAUGUGGCUGCUUCUUUAACAGAGUGAGGGAUAUGUACUUACUGGACACAGUUUUGGUUAGCCCAGCAUCACGUUUUUUUCUGGAAACCUCACCCCACUUUUUAUGUGGUUGUAGGAAUUCCCCCACCCCCUGCCAGUACAACGGCUCUUCUUUGGCUCUAGUGGAUUGGAACAGGGCAGGCCCCUCCCAAGAGCCAGUGACCAAGUAUGGUGGGGACAUUGAGGCAGACCUAUUUCUGAGAAACACAGAAAUUUGUUGGGCAACUGUAUUGCCCAACUUUGGCUCAAAAACUCCAUGAUGACUUUGCUGAACUUUCCUUAGACCAUAGACCCACCAAAAAUGUUUCCAACCAAUCUACUCUCUCUCUCUCCUUCCCUUGGGGUUAGGCUUGCCUUGCAAUCUGAUGGCUUUGCCUAUCCUCCCCUAUUUCUGUUCACACAUUAAUUCCCCCUAAUAAAACCCCUGCUCAUUUAACACCUUCUCAUCUUCUGUUUCUUGGAGGACCUCAUCUUAUGCAUCUGGUUUAAAUCCUAGCUCUCCCACACAGUAGUCGUGUGACCUUUGAUAAUCACUACAUUGUGCUGUCCUCAAUUUCCUCUUCUGUAAAAUGAAAGUGUGGGGUAAGAGCACCUACAUCACAGUGGUGUUAUAAUUGGAUGUAAUAACCCUCAGUCAUUUACCUGGCAUGCGGUAUAGUUGUAUGCAGGAGAGUCUACUGUUUAGAAAAACCUUGAACCUAAUUGUUAGCACCAUCAGUCUGUUCUGGCUUGUGUGCUGUAAGAGCCCUCUCUGGGUCUACAUUUGCUCAAGCAUUGAUGUUCUGUAGAGUAAAUUCUGCAUGUUUGUCUCUCCACUAAAACAUAAGUUCCUUGAGAGCAGGUAGCAUAUUUCCUUCACUUCUAUAUCCUCUCCAGAUCCAAGCAAAGUGUUUGAGCAAAGUGGCAAACCAGGAAAUGCUCAUUUAAUGGAUGCGAAUUUCCUGCAGGAAUGAUGGAAUGGAGUUCAGGUCAACAGCAAAUAUUGCAUGGCUGCUUACUUUCUUCCUGUGGUAUUCUCUACAAGGACAAAUAGCACAGAACCCCCUGCCAUCUCAUACAAGUGACAGAUUGUAUAUGCGUUGGCAAGCUUGGGCUUGAAGUUUUUGGUGACACAAGACUGGCUUCUACUUCAGGAGACCAACUUCUUUUUCACAUAGCUCCAAUUUUCAGAGGUAAGUAAAAUAAUGUUAACUAAAACUUGAAUAAUGCUUACUAAGUGCUAGAUACCAUUUUAAGUGCUGUAAUAUGUGUCUCUGAAUAUACACCUCCCACUCCUUGCACAGACACACACAUGCACACACUACACUCACACACAUACACACACACAAUCUCAAUAAACCCUCACAACAACUGAAUAAGGUAGAUUCAGUUGUUGCCCCUAUUUAACAGAUGAGGAAACUGAGGCACACAUAAGUUACAUGAUCUGCCCAAAGCCACAAUGCAAGUAAGAGCCAAGAUUUGAACCCAGGUAGUCUGAAUCUACAUUUUGUACUCUUAAUGACUGUAUUUUACUAUUUAUUUAUUAUUUAAUUUUUUUUUGAGACAGAGUCUCACUCUGUCACCCAAG
RNAcentral lists this long non-coding RNA (4307 nucleotides) under Homo sapiens (human). RNAcentral describes it as "HSALNT0370125". The record is from RNAcentral. Lineage: Eukaryota; Metazoa; Chordata; Mammalia; Primates; Hominidae.